Zonotrichia albicollis (white-throated sparrow) is the source of this 2549-nucleotide non-coding RNA. NCBI's taxonomy places the organism in Eukaryota, Metazoa, Chordata, Aves, Passeriformes, Passerellidae. The record is from RefSeq and is a predicted model, not a curated record.
GUGAGGGUCAGAAAGAUAGAAAGGAGAGAGAGCAGCACUGGGAGAAGACAUGAGAAAUUAGAUCAGAAUCUAAAAGCACUCAGGAGAGCAGGGAAAAAGGCAGAAAUUAGAACAGGAGCUAAGAGGAGAGCCGAAGAGGCAAUAAAAACUCAAGGAGGAGAAAGAAAAACUGCAAGAUGAAGAGAGGAGGACAGGAAAAAAAGGGCAGGAGAUAAAUAUGAGGCAACAUAAAAGGGCCUUGAUCUCCAGUUUGUAAAGAUGACGUGAUCUGUGGUGUGAAAGAAAAGAAAUACUUUGCAUUUUUUGAAAUGGCCAUGAGGAGAGGACCAGGCUACAUCUCAGAAAUCAAUAUCACAUUUUAUGCCUGCUGCACCCUUCACGAAGAAUCAAGACAACAUUGAUUCAAGACACCAGAAGAUCUAACUAAGUCAGAAUGUCUCAGUUACAGUCCAGAUUUCUAUUUAUUACCUACCUCACCGAGAAAGACAAGCCUUGUGCAGGCAUUUGUCACAAGCCAAAUUUGGAGCAAAUUCUCUGCAGAAGAAACGAGGAAUGAAGAGUGGGCAAGACUGUGUUGGUGUUUCUGUUCAUCUUGAAGGAGGGAACCUUCUGCUGCAGCUCUCAAGUGAUGCUCGAGGGGAAGAACAGCACGUACAAGGAGGAGAGCCAAGUGCCUGCCACUAGAGAGAAGCCCUGGGGACAGCACCAAGGUAAGGGCCCUCACCAGCCACUCAGAAAAUGCUUUCCUUGUGACUUUUGCUGCCCCACUCACCUUCCUCCCAUGUCCUGUCAUUUCCCUCAUCCCAUUUUGCACAAUGACAGGAAAACCUGAGGUUUUACACAGGUUUCUGCAGGGAGGAGCAAGUUUCAAGCUGCUUACCUUGCCUAAAAAGAGGAGUAGGGUUACACCAGAGGUCCUGCAAGCCCCUCACCAACUCCUCUGAGCUUAGGGGUGCUCAGCCUGGAGAAAAGGAGGCUCAUGGGGGACCUUAUCACUCCUACAGCUCCCUGAUAGGAGGUGCAGCCAGGUGUGGGCUGGUCUCUUCCCCCAGGUGACAAGCCACAGGACAAGAGGAAGAAACUCAAGUUGCACCAGGGGAGGUUUAUGUUGGAUAUUAGGGAAAAUUUCAUCACUGAGAGGGUGCUCAAGCACUGGAACAAGUUGUCCAAAGAAGAAGUGCACUCACUAUACCUGAAGGUCCUCAAAAAAUGUGUGGAUACGGUGCUCAGGAACAUGGUUUAGUGCUAGACCUGGCAGUGUUGGGUUAAUGGUUGAACUGAUGAUCUCAGAGGUCUUUUCCCACCUUAAUGAUUCCAUGAUUCCAUCGCCCCUGUGAUUCUAUGGUCCCACCUUAAUGAUUCCAUGAUUCUAUGGCCCCUGUGGCAGAAACUCCCAGCAGAUUGUACAGAAAAAUGUCAGAAGUCAAACUAAUUCUUCUCAUGAGGUAUUUUCCUUGUUCCUAUCACGCAGUGCAUUAGAGACUGGCAAUAGAAGUUGCAUAAAACAAGAAUGUUUAAUCGUAUUUUAAGUUGAUUAUAUUUUUGGUAUUCUUUUGGCAGAAAGUCCUGCAAUUUAAUUAACUAAUUGUGCUGCAUGACAAAAUUUUAUUCACUUUAAACCUCUUUUGCUCCUUGUAUUAACAUAGUCUAUAAAUAUUCCCCUCCUAAGAACAUUCUCCAUAACAUUUGCCACGGCAUAAACUUCAGCCCCCUCCUCCCAAAGAGUUCUAAAUUUAUCUGGUUUAUCCUGGCAUGGAAGCAGAUACAUACAAUUACUGACAAGACAACCACUAUCAAACCCAACUGUUGUUACCCAGACUGAAAUUCUUCCAAAAAUUAAUUAUUUAAAAUAAUCCAAACGGUGCAAAUAUCCAAAGAUCAGACAGAUCCAUAAAACUUGCCUGUAGCAAAAUCAUGCAAUUAGAAUCAUGCUCAUAAGUGUUGCAGUCUUAAAACAUUAAUGGAAGGAGUUAUUAAAAUUGUAUUUGAUUUGCAUUAUUACAACACUGAAUGCACUAUGGAAAACUGAGUCCAUGAGAGAGGUGCGGCACAAGCCAGAGUCUUAUUAUCUGAGUUGGAACUUUAAAAUAGACUCUGCUUUACAGUUCUGCCUGAAUUUUCUUUAGUUUUAUUGCUCUUGUAAAUUGAUAAGGAUUCCUGGUUUUAUAUUAGAAAUAGAAAAUGAGGAGGAGGAUAAGAAAAUAGUUGUAGAUAAAGACUCAGAAAAGCAAUUUGAGAAAAAAACAAUCCUUCCCAAAGUAAGUAAUUUUUAUCAGAAAUAAGAUGUGUUGUUGUGAUCAUAAGUGCCAUCAGAAGCCCCAAGAAUUGCAGGGUUUCUGUAGACAACCUAGGGAAAAGUUUCCCCAAAUGUGGAAGCAAUUAUAAAGAAAUUCAUGACUCACAGUAAGAAUUCCUGGUUUUAUUUCCAUUACAAAUAGACUGCAAUUUGUGCAUCUCUGUCUGACAUCUUUUUAUUGGGCACUUACCCUUCCUGACAUGUUUAUAAAAUUACCUGCUUCAUUAGUGGGACAUCACCAGCAAAUAUUGCC